Non-coding RNA from Yersinia ruckeri, 139 nucleotides. The record is from Rfam. NCBI's taxonomy places the organism in Bacteria, Pseudomonadati, Pseudomonadota, Gammaproteobacteria, Enterobacterales, Yersiniaceae.
CCAAAUCUCUAUCGUUUCUUACGGUAAAGAAAAACCAGCAGUACUGGGCCAUGACGAAGCAGCGUUCGCUAAAAACCGUCGUGCAGUUCUGGUUUACUAAGAGAAUCGCAUGAACAGUAACUUCAGACGUCACUUGUUG